CCCCUAGAUGUUCUGGGCCGCACGCGCGCUACACUGAACAGUUCAACAAGUCUUAACCUUGGCCGAUAGGUCUGGGUAAUCUUUGAACGCUGUUCGUGAUUGGGAUAGACCUUUGCAAUUAUUGGUCUUCAACGAGGAAUUCCUAGUAGACGUAGUUCAUCAGACUGCAUCGAUUACGUCCCUGCCCUUUGUACACACCGCCCGUCGCUCCUACCGAUUGGAUGAUCCGGUGAGCUAUUCGGACCUUCGCUUCGUCGAUUUUCGGCUUUGUGAGGGAAAGUCUCGCGAACCUUAUCAUCUAGAGGAAGGAGAAGUCGUAACA
Molecule: ribosomal RNA, 322 nt
Filed under: uncultured eukaryote
Lineage: Eukaryota
Description: partial 18S ribosomal RNA
Rfam family: Eukaryotic small subunit ribosomal RNA
Source: RNAcentral